RNAcentral lists this unclassified non-coding RNA (378 nucleotides) under uncultured Thermoleophilia bacterium. RNAcentral's name for it is "contains 16S-23S intergenic spacer region". The record is from RNAcentral. Lineage: Bacteria; Bacillati; Actinomycetota; Thermoleophilia.
UCCGGUUUGGCACCGGCAGUCUCCCAUGAGUCCCCGACAUAACUCGCUGGCAACAUGGGAUAGGGGUUGCGCUCGUUGCGCCACUUAAGGCAACACCUCACGGCACGAGCUGACGACAGCCAUGCACCACCUGUGAUCCUGCCCCUAAGGGAAACCGUGUUUCCACGGCUGUCACCUACAUGUCAAGCCCAGGUAAGGUUCUUCGCGUUGCGUCGAAUUGAACCACAUGCUCCGCUGCUUGUGCGGGUCCCCGUCAAUUCCUUUGAGUUUUAGCCUUGCGGCCGUACUCCCCAGGCGGGGCACUUAAUGCGUUAGCUACGGCACGGAAGGAGUCGACACCUCCCACACCUAGUGCCCAUCGUUUACGGCGUGGACUAC